CGCCCUACACCCUAUAUUGGAUGAAUUUUGAACAUAUAACAAGAUAGAAUAGAACAAUCAUAAAUCAAAUACAUCCAAACGGUGUCAACCCCAAUACUAAUAUCAAUGCCAAGGCUGACACUAAUACCGACACUACUCAUGUCCAUAGUAGUCACACAAAGCCUCUAUCCAAAAUCAAAAUAUCCGACCAAUACAUGCCCC
RNAcentral lists this long non-coding RNA (201 nucleotides) under Capsicum annuum. RNAcentral describes it as "long non-coding RNA (CANN_LNC016318)". Lineage: Eukaryota; Viridiplantae; Streptophyta; Magnoliopsida; Solanales; Solanaceae. The record is from RNAcentral.